AAGGAACUGGGAUCCUCUAUACUUCUUUUGUGAUUUUUUAUGGAUGUACCCAUUCAUUAGCUGUCUGAACUCUUCGUUUGUCUGAAAAAGAAAUGCAGUGAACUCCUGCCAUAUGCUAUUAAGAGACCAAGGACCGGGACUUCCCUGCUGUGAUAGAAGCCGGACGCGAGGGGAUCGCCUUCAGACCUCAGUCUUUGUAUUUGUAUAAUAAAGCUUUACUUCAGAUGUCUGAUCACAUCAUCAGAUCCAAAACCAAGCUCAUGGUUACCAAGCAGUUCUGAUCCCCAUUUUACUGUAUGGAGCUGAGAUGUGAAUGGCUUACAGGAGAUGCUUCAAGUCACUGGAGAAGUACUGUCAAUGCUGACUGCAGAAGAUCCUAUAAAUCCAAUGGGAAGACAGAUGCCUCAACAUCAGUGUCUUCUCACAAGCAAACACUGCAAGCAUUGAGGUGAUGAUCAUCCAACAUCAACUUUGCUGGGCUGGCCACAUCAUCCAGAUGUCUGACUCCAGACACUUGAAGCAAGUUUUAUUCUCCCAGCUCAGUCAAGGCAUACGCUCAAAAGGAGGGCAAAGACAGCACUUCAAAGAUGUCCUCAAGCCCAAUUUGAAAAAAUGUAACAUUAACAUCAGCUCAUGGGAGACUAUCACCUGGAGGAAAAGUCUAUUGCAAGAAUCUUAGUAUUUUGAAACCUUACAAUGACCCACCCUGCAUGGAGACAUGUGGUCAAGUUGCAACAGAGACUGUCAAUCCCGGACAGGUCUUGUCAGCCAUCUUUGGACUCGCAGAUAAAGCAAUCAUGGAAGAAUUGUCCUUGACUAAGAAGGACUAUGAAUAUAAAAAUAAAAUAAAGCCUUACUUGGAUAAGUUACUUGUCACUCAGUUGAAAGAAAAGGUACUAAGCAUGUUAAAUAUUGCAAGAUGCUGUUUGUCAUCAAAAGCAGAACUGUUUAUAGCU
Molecule: long non-coding RNA, 956 nt
Organism: Alligator sinensis (Chinese alligator)
Lineage: Eukaryota; Metazoa; Chordata; Crocodylia; Alligatoridae
Exons: 3
Source: RefSeq, a predicted model, not a curated record